Molecule: long non-coding RNA, 376 nt
Organism: Rosa chinensis
Lineage: Eukaryota; Viridiplantae; Streptophyta; Magnoliopsida; Rosales; Rosaceae
Exons: 2
Source: RefSeq, a predicted model, not a curated record
ACCUACUUCGAGUCUUCGACCUUUCCGUCAUUCACCAGAGGUCCAGAACGCAACUCUCUCUCUCUGGAACUCAACCCAAUCUGAGCACAGCAACCUCCCAUUCAUUUCCGUCACCCAAAUCCCAACUCUCAUCUCUCUCUGUCGCCCAAUUUGUCAAGAAAAAGAGCGCACUGAAUUGGAGGAUCUUACUGAAGACGUAUUUGAUUUGACAUUGCAAGAUAGAUCUGGAGAAGGAGAAAGCCGCAAUUAAGAUGACUUAGAUGUAUUUUAUUUAGUACAUUAAAAAUGUAUUUUAUUUAGUACAUUAAAUAUGUAUUUCGAACCUAUUGAAAUAUUUAAUUAUAUCUACUAGGCUACUAGCUUAGCUCAACCAACA